This 468-nucleotide ribosomal RNA is filed under the name uncultured bacterium. RNAcentral's name for it is "partial 16S ribosomal RNA". It matches the Rfam family "Bacterial small subunit ribosomal RNA", at positions 28 to 507 of the family's 1533-position model. The record is from RNAcentral.
GACGAACGCUGGCGGCGUGCUUAGCACAUGCAAGUCGAACGGAAAGGCCCUGCUUUUGUGGGGUGCUCGAGUGGCGAACGGGUGAGUAACACGUGAGUAACCUGCCCUUGACUUUGGGAUAACUUCAGGAAACUGGGGCUAAUACCGGAUAGGAGCUCCUGCUGCAUGGUGGGGGUUGGAAAGUUUCGGCGGUUGGGGAUGGACUCGCGGCUUAUCAGCUUGUUGGUGGGGUAGUGGCUUACCAAGGCUUUGACGGGUAGCCGGCCUGAGAGGGUGACCGGCCACAUUGGGACAGAGAUACGGCCCAGACUCCUACGGGAGGCAGCAGUGGGGAAUAUUGCACAAUGGGCGGAAGCCUGAUGCAGCAACGCCGCGUGCGGGAUGACGGCCUUCGGGUUGUAAACCGCUUUCGCCUGUGACGAAGCGUGAGUGACGGUAAUGGGUAAAGAAGCACCGGCUAACUACGUG